GGAGGAAAGCAGGGGAUCGUAAGACCUUGCGCUUUUGGAGCGGCCGAUGUCUGAUUAGCUAGUUGGUGGGGUAAUGGCCUACCAAAGCUUCGAUCAGUAGCUGGUCUGAGAGGACGGCCAGCCACACUGGGACUGAGACACGGCCCAGACUCCUACGGGAGGCAGCAGUGGGGAAUUUUGGACAAUGGGCGAAAGCCUGAUCCAGCAAUGCCGCGUGAGUGAAGAAGGCCUUCGGGUUGUAAAGCUCUUUCAGUCGAGAAGAAAGGGUCGCGACUAGUAAUCGCGACUCAUGACGGUAUCGACAGAAGAAGCACCGGCUAACUACGUGCCAGCAGCCGCGGUAAUACGUAGGGUGCGAGCGUUAAUCGGAAUUACUGGGCGUAAAGGGUGCGCAGGCGGCUUUGUAAGUCAGAUGUGAAAUCCCCGGGCUUAACCUGGGAAUUGCGUUUGAAACUACAAAGCUAGA
RNAcentral lists this ribosomal RNA (466 nucleotides) under uncultured ammonia-oxidizing beta proteobacterium. RNAcentral describes it as "bacterial SSU rRNA". It matches the Rfam family "Bacterial small subunit ribosomal RNA", at positions 198 to 645 of the family's 1533-position model. The record is from RNAcentral. Lineage: Bacteria; Pseudomonadati; Pseudomonadota; Betaproteobacteria.